UACGUAGGGGGCAAGCGUUGUCCGGAAUUAUUGGGCGUAAAGAGCGUGUAGGCGGUCCGGUAAGUCGGCUGUGAAAGUCCAGGGCUCAACCCUGGGAUGCCGGUCGAUACUGCCGGACUAGAGUUCGGAAGAGGCGAGUGGAAUUCCCGGUGUAGCGGUGAAAUGCACAGAUAUCGGGAGGAACACCUAUGGCGAAGGCAGCUCGCUGGGACGUUACUGACGCUGAGACGCGAAAGCCAGGGGAGCGAACGGG
RNAcentral lists this ribosomal RNA (253 nucleotides) under uncultured bacterium. Its description in RNAcentral is "partial 16S ribosomal RNA". It matches the Rfam family "Bacterial small subunit ribosomal RNA", at positions 524 to 776 of the family's 1533-position model. The record is from RNAcentral.